This 288-nucleotide long non-coding RNA is filed under the name Nicotiana benthamiana. Its description in RNAcentral is "long non-coding RNA (NBEN_LNC029385)". Lineage: Eukaryota; Viridiplantae; Streptophyta; Magnoliopsida; Solanales; Solanaceae. The record is from RNAcentral.
AAAGCCCCCAUGACCUCCUCCGCCCUAAUGCGCAUGCAGUACCCAAGGUCUCUAUGUUGCUCUGAAUGCCCCAACUCCCCUAGAUCUAUGUAACAAUCCCACUCCUCGUUAAGUAAGUCUCGAAAGUACACCUUCCACCUCUGCUUGACUUGAGACUCCCCCAUCAAAUCUGUACCAUCCUCGCCCUUGAUGCACCUUACUUGGUCAAGAUCACGCGCCUUCCUUUCCCUUGCUUUAGCUAACCGGAAUAACUUUCUGUCCCCGCCUCUCUCCCCUAGUUCCUCGNNN